RNAcentral lists this ribosomal RNA (469 nucleotides) under uncultured bacterium. Its description in RNAcentral is "partial 16S ribosomal RNA". It matches the Rfam family "Bacterial small subunit ribosomal RNA", at positions 28 to 507 of the family's 1533-position model. The record is from RNAcentral.
GACGAACGCUGGCGGCGUGCUUAACACAUGCAAGUCGAACGGAAAGGCCCUGCUUGCAGGGUGCUCGAGAGGCGAACGGGUGAGUAACACGUGGGUGAUCUGCCCCUUACUUUGGGAUAAGCCUGGGAAACUGGGUCUAAUACUGGAUAGGACCAUGCUGUAGGUGGUGUGGUGGAAAGAUUAGUUUCGGUAAGGGAUGAGCUCGCGGCCUAUCAGCUUGUUGGUGGGGUAAUGGCCUACCAAGGCGUCGACGGGUAGCCGGCCUGAGAGGGUGGACGGCCACAUUGGGACUGAGAUACGGCCCAGACUCCUACGGGAGGCAGCAGUGGGGAAUAUUGCACAAUGGGCGCAAGCCUGAUGCAGCGACGCCGCGUGGGGGAUGACGGCCUUCGGGUUGUAAACUCCUUUCAGCCAUGACGAAGCCCUUGUGGUGACGGUAGUGGUAGAAGAAGCACCGGCUAACUACGUG